UUUGGUGGUGGAUUGUUGCUGGCCUUUGGGUAUGUGCACAUCCUCCUCCGAUUUCUAUUCAUCCACCUGUGCACUUUUUGUAGGAGUUCUUUCAUCGGGUUUUUGAAGGGGGCCCUUUAUAAUUUGCUUGAAAAAACAAUUGAACAAGGUUCCAUGGUCCUUAUAACCCUUUGAAUAAGGUAAAAAAAGGACCUGGUAUUGGGAACUUUAUGGACCCUUAAACUUUAUAACACUUUUCACCACCGAAUCCUUGGGUUCCCCCUCCAAGAAAAAACCCACCGAAUGGCAAUAAUAAUGGGGAUUGGCAAAAUUAGUGGAACCUCCAAUCCUUUAACCCCCCCUGGCCCCCCCGGGUAUUCCGAAGGGAUGGCUGGUUUAAUGGCAUUUAAAUUCUAAAUUUUAAAAUUUUUACUUUAUCAAACUUGGAAGGUGGAAGGUUGGCAGGCUUUGGCCACCCCCCCUUAAUUUGAUAAUGGGAAACCCGGUUUGGUAAUUCCUACCCUGGGGGGGUUAUUUACCAACUUUUGGGGGAAACUUUACAUUAUAAAACCUUAAUUGGUUGGUUUGUGGCAUUAAUUUUGUUAAUUUUUUCCAAUUC
This 598-nucleotide ribosomal RNA is filed under the name Lentinula edodes (shiitake mushroom). Its description in RNAcentral is "partial 18S ribosomal RNA". The record is from RNAcentral. Lineage: Eukaryota; Fungi; Basidiomycota; Agaricomycetes; Agaricales; Omphalotaceae.